CGUGCCUAAUACAUGCAAGUCGAGCGGUUCUUAGAAAGCUUGCUUUCUAAGAAUAGCGGCGGACGGGUGAGUAACACGUGGGCAACUACCUAUAAGACUGGGAUAACUUCGGGAAACCGGAGCUAAUACCGGAUAAUAUAAGAGAUUACAUGGUCUUUUAUUGAAAGAUGGCUUCUUGCUAUCACUUAUAGAUGGGCCCGUGGCGCAUUAGCUAGUUGGUGAGGUAAUGGCUCACCAAGGCGACGAUGCGUAGCCGACCUGAGAGGGUGAUCGGCCACACUGGGACUGAGACACGGCCCAGACUCCUACGGGAGGCAGCAGUAGGGAAUCUUCCGCAAUGGACGAAAGUCUGACGGAGCAACGCCGCGUGAGUGAUGAAGGCCUUCGGGUCGUAAAACUCUGUUGUUAGGGAAGAACAAGUACCGUUCGAAUAGGGCGGUACCUUGACGGUACCUAACCAGAAAGCCACGGCUAACUACGUG
Molecule: ribosomal RNA, 482 nt
Filed under: uncultured bacterium
Lineage: Bacteria
Description: bacterial SSU rRNA
Rfam family: Bacterial small subunit ribosomal RNA
Source: RNAcentral